Molecule: ribosomal RNA, 221 nt
Filed under: uncultured bacterium
Lineage: Bacteria
Description: partial 16S ribosomal RNA
Rfam family: Bacterial small subunit ribosomal RNA
Source: RNAcentral
UACGUAGGGGGCAAGCGUUGUCCGGAUUCAUUGGGCGUAAAGAGCUCGUAGGCGGUGUGUCACGUCGGCCGUGAAAACCUGCAGCUUAACUGUGGGCGUGCGGUCGAUACGGGCAUCACUGGAGUUCGGCAGGGGAGACUGGAAUUCCUGGUGUAGCGGUGGAAUGCGCAGAUAUCAGGAGGAACACCGGUGGCGAAGGCGGUUCUCUGGGCAUUACCUGA